RNAcentral lists this ribosomal RNA (485 nucleotides) under uncultured bacterium. RNAcentral's name for it is "bacterial SSU rRNA". It matches the Rfam family "Bacterial small subunit ribosomal RNA", at positions 28 to 507 of the family's 1533-position model. The record is from RNAcentral.
GAUGAACGCAGCGGCAGGCUUAACACAUGCAAGUCAGGGGUAACAUAGAAAAGCUUGCUUUUCUGAUGACGACCGGCGCACGGGUGCGUAACGCGUAUACAACCUACCUUUUAGCGGGGAAUAGCCCAGGGAAACUUGGAUUAAUGCCCCAUAGUAUAUAGACUUCUCCUGAAGUUUAUAUUAAACAUUUAUGGCUAUUAGAUGGGUAUGCGUCCUAUUAGUUAGUUGGUAAGGUAACGGCUUACCAAGGCAGCGAUAGGUAGGGGUCCUGAGAGGGAGAUCCCCACACUGGUACUGAGACACGGACCAGACUCCUACGGGAGGCAGCAGUGAGGAAUAUUGGACAAUGGGCGAGAGCCUGAUCCAGCCAUGCCGCGUGCAGGAAGACUGCCCUAUGGGUUGUAAACUGCUUUUACAGAGGAAGAACCACCCCCACGUGUGGGGGUUUGACGGUACUCUGCGAAUAAGGAUCGGCUAACUCCGUG